RNAcentral lists this unclassified non-coding RNA (404 nucleotides) under soil metagenome. RNAcentral describes it as "partial contains 5.8S ribosomal RNA, internal transcribed spacer 2, and large subunit ribosomal RNA". The stretch from base 1 to 122 matches the Rfam family "5.8S ribosomal RNA", at positions 35 to 154 of the family's 154-position model. The record is from RNAcentral.
GAUGAAGAACGCAGCAAAAUGCGAUACUUGGUGUGAAUUGCAGAAUCCCGUGAACCAUCGAGUUUUUGAACGCAAGUUGCGCCCGAAGCCUUUUGGCCGAGGGCACGUCUGCCUGGGCGUCACGCAUCGCGUCGCCCCCCACAAUUCUCCGUAAAGGGAACAUGUGUUUUGGGGGCGGAUAUUGGUCUCCCGUGCUCAUGGCGUGGUUGGCCGAAAUAGGAGUCCUUUCGAUGGACGCACGAACUAGUGGUGGUCGUAAAAACCCUCGUCUUUUGUUUCGUGCUGUUGCUCGCAAGGUAAACUCUUUAAAAACCCCAAUGUGUCGUCUCUUGACGACGCUUCGACCGCGACACCAGGUCAGGCGGGACUACCCGCUGAGUUUAAGCAUAUCAAUAAGCGGAGGA